CCUACGGGUGGCAGCAGUGGGGAAUAUUGCACAAUGGAGGGAACUCUGAUGCAGCGACGCCGCGUGAGUGAAGAAGUAUUUCGGUAUGUAAAGCUCUAUCAGCAGGGAAGAAAGUGACGGUACCUGACUAAGAAGCCCCGGCUAACUACGUGCCAGCAGCCGCGGUAAUACGUAGGGGGCAAGAGUUCUCCGGAUUUACUGGGGGGAAAGGGAGCGCAGACGGCUGUGCAAGUCUGGAGUGAAAGGCGGGGGGCCAACCCCCGGACUGCUUUGGAAACUGUAAAGCUGGAGUGCAGGAGGGGUAAGUGGAAUUCCUAGUGUAGCGGUGAAAUGCGUAGAUAUUAGGAGGAACACCAGUGGCGAAGGCGGCUUACUGGACUGCAACUGACGUUGAGGCUCGAAAGCGUGGGGAGCAAACAGGAUUAGAUACCCCAGUAGUC
This 440-nucleotide ribosomal RNA is filed under the name uncultured bacterium. RNAcentral's name for it is "partial 16S ribosomal RNA". It matches the Rfam family "Bacterial small subunit ribosomal RNA", at positions 338 to 795 of the family's 1533-position model. The record is from RNAcentral.